This 481-nucleotide ribosomal RNA is filed under the name uncultured Prevotella sp. RNAcentral's name for it is "partial 16S ribosomal RNA". It matches the Rfam family "Bacterial small subunit ribosomal RNA", at positions 28 to 505 of the family's 1533-position model. The record is from RNAcentral. Lineage: Bacteria; Pseudomonadati; Bacteroidota; Bacteroidia; Bacteroidales; Prevotellaceae.
GACGAACGCUGGCGGCGUGCUUAACACAUGCAAGUCGAACGCUGAAGCCCAGCUUGCUGGGUGGAUGAGUGGCGAACGGGUGAGUAACACGUGAGUAACCUGCCCCCUUCUUUGGGAUAACGCCCGGAAACGGGUGCUAAUACUGGAUAUUCACUGGCCUUCGCAUGGGGGUUGGUGGAAAGGUUUUUCUGGUGGGGGAUGGGCUCGCGGCCUAUCAGCUUGUUGGUGGGGUGAUGGCCUACCAAGGCUUUGACGGGUAGCCGGCCUGAGAGGGUGACCGGUCACAUUGUGACUGACAUACGGCCCAAACUCCUACGGGAGGCAACUCUGGGGAAUAUUGCACAAUGUUUUUAUUCCCUGAUGUAGCCACCCCCCGUGCGGGCUGACUGCCCUCGGGUUGCAAUUUUUUUUUCAUUUCAGGUCAAUCCGCAGUAGAGGGUGGGGGGUGAGUGAUAUUACAUUCAGACUGCGGCCUCCUCCU